RNAcentral lists this ribosomal RNA (254 nucleotides) under uncultured bacterium. RNAcentral describes it as "partial 16S ribosomal RNA". It matches the Rfam family "Bacterial small subunit ribosomal RNA", at positions 524 to 776 of the family's 1533-position model. The record is from RNAcentral.
UACGGAGGGUGCAAGCGUUGUCCGGAUUUAUUGGGUGUAAAGGGCGUGUAGGCGGAGAAAUGUGUCGGGAGUGAAAUCGUGCGGCUUAACCGUAUCAAUUGCUUCCGAAACUGUUUCCCUUGAGUGCGAGAGGGGCAGAUGGAAUUCCUGGUGUAGCGGUGGAAUGCGUAGAUAUCAGGAAGAACACCGUUGGCGAAGGCGGUCUGCUGGCUCGUUUCUGACGCUGAGGCGCGAAAGUGUGGGGAGCAAACAGG